GAACUGCGAUAAGUAAUGUGAAUUGCAGAAUUCAGUGAAUCAUCGAGUCUUUGAACGCACAUUGCGCCCCCUGGCAUUCCGGGGGGCAUGCCUGUCCGAGCGUCAUUGCUGCCCUUCAAGCCCGGCUUGUGUGUUGGGUCGUCGUCCCCUCCGGGGGACGGGCCCGAAAGGCAGCGGCGGCACCGCGUCCGGUCCUCGAGCGUAUGGGGCUUUGUCACCCGCUCGAUAAGGACAGACCGGGCGCCAGCCGGCGUCUCCAACCUUUUUUUCUCAGGUUGACCCCGGAUCAGGUAGGGAUACCCGCUGAACUUAAGC
RNAcentral lists this unclassified non-coding RNA (315 nucleotides) under plant metagenome. RNAcentral describes it as "partial contains 5.8S ribosomal RNA, internal transcribed spacer 2, and large subunit ribosomal RNA". The stretch from base 1 to 105 matches the Rfam family "5.8S ribosomal RNA", at positions 50 to 154 of the family's 154-position model. The record is from RNAcentral.